RNAcentral lists this non-coding RNA (44 nucleotides) under Trichobilharzia regenti. Lineage: Eukaryota; Metazoa; Platyhelminthes; Trematoda; Strigeidida; Schistosomatidae. The record is from RNAcentral.
AUCCAGUGACGAGUCGCAAACAGGACGAAAUGCGCAUCCUGGAU